This 253-nucleotide ribosomal RNA is filed under the name uncultured bacterium. RNAcentral describes it as "partial 16S ribosomal RNA". It matches the Rfam family "Bacterial small subunit ribosomal RNA", at positions 524 to 776 of the family's 1533-position model. The record is from RNAcentral.
UACGUAGGCAGCGAGCGUUGUUCGGAGUUACUGGGCGUAAAGGGUGUGUAGGCGGUUGCUUAAGUUUGGUGUGAAAUCUCCCGGCUCAACUGGGAGGGUGCGCCGAAUACUGAGUGACUCGAGUGCGGGAGAGGAGAGUAGAAUUCCUGGUGUAGCGGUGAAAUGCGUAGAUAUCAGGAGGAACACCGGUGGUGUAGACGGCUCUCUGGACCGUAACUGACGCUGAGACACGAAAGCGUGGGUAGCAAACAGG